ACCUUGAGUUCAGCUCAGGGCAGCUCCCCUGUUCUGUUAAUUAAACUCUGGGACAUCAAACUGGCUAAGGUAGAUCACUGCAUAGAAAAUAUUACUCUAUUCAUUUACCUCCCAGCCUAUAAAA
Balaenoptera musculus (blue whale) is the source of this 124-nucleotide small nucleolar RNA. Lineage: Eukaryota; Metazoa; Chordata; Mammalia; Artiodactyla; Balaenopteridae. The record is from Ensembl.